This 816-nucleotide ribosomal RNA is filed under the name Prevotella brunnea. Its description in RNAcentral is "bacterial SSU rRNA". It matches the Rfam family "Bacterial small subunit ribosomal RNA", at positions 708 to 1533 of the family's 1533-position model. Lineage: Bacteria; Pseudomonadati; Bacteroidota; Bacteroidia; Bacteroidales; Prevotellaceae. The record is from RNAcentral.
CCAAUUGCGAAGGCAGCUCACGGGAGUGUUACUGACGCUUAAGCUCGAAGGUGCGGGUAUCAAACAGGAUUAGAUACCCUGGUAGUCCGCACGGUAAACGAUGGAUGCCCGCUGUUGGCAAAUUUGUCAGCGGCUAAGCGAAAGCGUUAAGCAUCCCACCUGGGGAGUACGCCGGCAACGGUGAAACUCAAAGGAAUUGACGGGGGCCCGCACAAGCGGAGGAACAUGUGGUUUAAUUCGAUGAUACGCGAGGAACCUUACCCGGGCUUGAAUUGCCGGUGCACGAUACAGAGAUGUUGAGGUCCUUCGGGACGCCGGUGAAGGUGCUGCAUGGUUGUCGUCAGCUCGUGCCGUGAGGUGUCGGCUUAAGUGCCAUAACGAGCGCAACCCUUUUCCUCAGUUGCCAUCGGGUCAUGCCGGGCACUCUGUGGAUACUGCCACCGUAAGGUGUGAGGAAGGUGGGGAUGACGUCAAAUCAGCACGGCCCUUACGUCCGGGGCUACACACGUGUUACAAUGGCCGGUACAGCUUGUUGGUGUAAUGCAAAUUGCAUCUAAUCUUGAAAUCCGGUCUCAGUUCGGACUGGGGUCUGCAACCCGACCCCACGAAGCUGGAUUCGCUAGUAAUCGCGCAUCAGCCAUGGCGCGGUGAAUACGUUCCCGGGCCUUGUACACACCGCCCGUCAAGCCAUGAAAGCCGGGGGUGCCUGAAGUUCGUAACCGCGAGGAGCGACCUAGGGCAAAACUGGUGAUUGGGGCUAAGUCGUAACAAGGUAGCCGUACCGGAAGGUGCGGCUGGAACACCUCCUUUCUGGAG